GUUGAGGUAGGGUACUGGCAACAGUGCUCUGCUGAAAUAUUUUCACCCAUGUCUUUUGCGCACUUUUUGUUUCCUGGGCGAGUUUGCUCGCCACCAGGACCCCCAUAUGAACCUUUUUUGUUUUUGCACUCAGCGUCAGUACAAUAAUUUAAUCUAUUAAAACUUUCAACAACGGAUCUCUUGGUUCUGGCAUCGAUGAAGAACGCAGCGAAAUGCGAUACGUAGUGUGAAUUGCAGAAUUCAGUGAAUCAUCGAAUCUUUGAACGCACAUUGCGCCCUUUGGUAUUCCAAAGGGCAUGCCUGUUCGAGCGUCAUUUGUACCCUCAAGCUUUGCUUGGUGUUGGGCGUCUUAUUGUCUCUCCGUCUCGGGGAGACUCGCCUUAAAACAAUUGGCAGCCGGCCUACUGGUUUCGGAGCGCAGCACAAAUUUGCGCUUGCAAUCAGCCAAGGGCGGCAUCCAUGAAGCCUUUUUUCUCUCACAUUUUGACCUCGGAUCAGGUAGGGAUACCCGCUGAACUUAAGCAUAUCAAUAGCCCGGGAGGAAAUGGUCCCCCCCACGUG
This 561-nucleotide ribosomal RNA is filed under the name Exserohilum turcicum. RNAcentral describes it as "eukaryotic LSU rRNA". The stretch from base 161 to 314 matches the Rfam family "5.8S ribosomal RNA". The record is from RNAcentral. Lineage: Eukaryota; Fungi; Ascomycota; Dothideomycetes; Pleosporales; Pleosporaceae.